AAUAAAUCGACGAUAGUGAAGGAGUAGGGUACUUCAUUGAAUGCACAGAGAGUUGACAUGAGCUGAGAGUCAAUGAUUCAAGAGUAUCUGAAAAUCAUCACUUAGAUGUAUUACUGAAGUAAGUAAGUAAGUAAUACCGGUUGUUCACCGUUACCCGAAACGCGUAUAAUUAUGUACGUUGAGUGCCAUACAUUGUAUGGAAUUUGGGUGGUAACGCGAUAACCUCGUCCCUUGU
RNAcentral lists this non-coding RNA (235 nucleotides) under Erysipelothrix rhusiopathiae. RNAcentral describes it as "T-box sequence". It matches the Rfam family "T-box leader". Rfam says of the family: Uncharged tRNA acts as the effector for transcription antitermination of genes in the T-box leader family. T-boxes are found upstream of many aminoacyl-tRNA synthetase genes and some amino acid biosynthetic genes usually in Gram-positive bacteria. The anticodon of a specific tRNA base pairs to a specifier sequence within the T-box motif, and the NCCA acceptor tail of the tRNA base pairs to a conserved bulge in the T-box antiterminator hairpin. The record is from RNAcentral. Lineage: Bacteria; Bacillati; Bacillota; Erysipelotrichia; Erysipelotrichales; Erysipelotrichaceae.